UGGGGAAUAUUGGACAAUGGGCGCAAGCCUGAUCCAGCCAUGCCGCGUGAGUGAUGAAGGCCCUAGGGUUGUAAAGCUCUUUCACCGGUGAAGAUAAUGACGGUAACCGGAGAAGAAGCCCCGGCUAACUUCGUGCCAGCAGCCGCGGUAAUACGAAGGGGGCUAGCGUUGUUCGGAUUUACUGGGCGUAAAGCGCACGUAGGCGGACUAUUAAGUCAGGGGUGAAAUCCCGGGGCUCAACCCCGGAACUGCCUUUGAUACUGGUAGUCUUGAGUUCGAGAGAGGUGAGUGGAAUUCCGAGUGUAGAGGUGAAAUUCGUAGAUAUUCGGAGGAACACCAGUGGCGAAGGCGGCUCACUGGCUCGAUACUGACGCUGAGGUGCGAAAGCGUGGGGAGCAAACAG
Molecule: ribosomal RNA, 403 nt
Filed under: Actinomycetes bacterium
Lineage: Bacteria; Bacillati; Actinomycetota; Actinomycetes
Description: Actinobacteria bacterium partial 16S ribosomal RNA
Rfam family: Bacterial small subunit ribosomal RNA
Source: RNAcentral